CAAUAGCGUAUAUUAAAGUUGUUGCGGUUAAAAAGCUCGUAGUUGGAGUUCUGCCAGGUGCCGCCUGUCCGCCCCAGUGGUGAGUACGUGGCGCGCAUUUGGCCCUUUCAAGGGGAGCGUAUCUGCACUUUAUUGUGUGGUGCGGGAUCCUUGACUUUUACUUUGAGGAAAUAGGAGUGUUCCAAGCAGGCUCUCGUCGUGCACAGCUCAGCAUGGAAUAAUAGCAUUGGACCUCGAUUCUAAGCUGUUGGUUGCCAGAAGCGAGGUAAUGAUGAAGAGGGAUAGUUGGGGGCAUUCGUAUUUAACUGUCAGAGGUGAAAUUCUUGGAUUUGUUAAAGACGGACUACCGCGAAAGCAUUUGCCAAGGAUGUUUUCAUUGA
This 380-nucleotide ribosomal RNA is filed under the name uncultured eukaryote. RNAcentral describes it as "partial 18S ribosomal RNA". It matches the Rfam family "Eukaryotic small subunit ribosomal RNA", at positions 592 to 976 of the family's 1831-position model. The record is from RNAcentral.